UACGAAGGGGGCGAGCGUUAUUCGGAAUCACUGGGCGUAAAGCGUGCGUAGGCUGUUUUGUAAGUCAGAAGUGAAAGCCCAGGGCUCAACCCUGGAAUUGCUUUUGAAACUACAAAACUCGAAUUCGGGAGAGGAUAGCGGAAUUGUCAGUGUAGCAGUGAAAUGCGUAGAUAUUGACAGGAACACCAGUGGCGAAAGCGGCUAUCUGGACCGACAUUGACGCUGAGGCACGAAAGCGUGGGGAGCAAACAGG
Molecule: ribosomal RNA, 253 nt
Filed under: uncultured bacterium
Lineage: Bacteria
Description: partial 16S ribosomal RNA
Rfam family: Bacterial small subunit ribosomal RNA
Source: RNAcentral